This 468-nucleotide ribosomal RNA is filed under the name uncultured bacterium. Its description in RNAcentral is "partial 16S ribosomal RNA". It matches the Rfam family "Bacterial small subunit ribosomal RNA", at positions 28 to 507 of the family's 1533-position model. The record is from RNAcentral.
GACGAACGCUGGCGGCGUGCUUAACACAUGCAAGUCGAACGGAAAGGCCCUGCUUUUGUGGCGUGCUCGAGUGGCGAACGGGUGAGUAACACGUGAGUAACCUGCCCUUGUCUUUGGGAUAACUUCAGGAAACUGGGGCUAAUAUCGGAUAUGAGCUCCUGCUCCGUGGGGGGGGUUGGAAAGUUUCGGCUGUGUGGUAUCGACUCGCUGCUUAACAGCUUGUUUGUGGGGUAGUUGCUGACCAAGGCUUUGACGGGUAGCCGGCCUGAGAGGGUGACCGGCCACAUUGGGCCUGAGAUACGGACCAGACUCCUACGGGAGGCAGCAGUGGGGAGUAUUGCACAAUGGGCGGAAGCCUGAUGCAGCAACGCCGCGUGCGGGAUGACGGCCUUCGGGUUGUAAACCGCUUUCGCAUGUGACGAAGCGUGAGUGACGGUAAUGGGUAAAGAAGCAACGGCUAACUACGUG